CUUCAAGGUAAGGUUCGGUUAAGCUUUAUAAGUCUUUACUAUGAACAUCCAGACAUUCUGGAUUUGACAGCUUGACCUCGGGUCAUUCUGUCUGACGCCUCCCUGUUUAACUCUUGAGAGCCGCUGAUGCGGCUCUUUUUUU
Molecule: small RNA, 142 nt
Filed under: Hoeflea sp. IMCC20628
Lineage: Bacteria; Pseudomonadati; Pseudomonadota; Alphaproteobacteria; Hyphomicrobiales; Rhizobiaceae
Description: Alphaproteobacterial sRNA BjrC1505
Rfam family: Alphaproteobacterial sRNA BjrC1505
Source: Rfam by way of RNAcentral